GGUAACAACACGUUGAAACACCGGCUCCCGUACGAUCACCGCAGUUAAGCAAUGUUGAGCCUGGUCAAUACCUAGACGGGUGACCGCCUGGUAAUACCAGUUGUUGUAAG
Molecule: non-coding RNA, 110 nt
Organism: Acanthosepion pharaonis
Lineage: Eukaryota; Metazoa; Mollusca; Cephalopoda; Sepiida; Sepiidae
Source: the annotation of a GenBank genome assembly